GGAAAUUAUUAAUCAUUUAAAAAUAAAGCAUCCAGUGUAUAUCUCUUCCUUCGAUAAGUGAAAUAUUGCAGAACCAACCAAUAUUCUCUUAGUGAAAAGACUACCAUGAAUGUAAAGUUUUAUUCAGUGUUCCUCAAACUUGCUUUAAAUAUAAAAUAAUCAUUUGAGGCAUACAUGCUACAAAAAACAAAUCCAGGACUUUGCUCUUGGAAACUUUUAUUUAGUGACUUUUGUACUCAUGUCCUGGGAAGUUAUAAUUUUAACAAGCAUUUCCCACAUUUCUUAUUAUUGGGCAAGUUAGUAGAAGUUGAGAAUCCAGCUCUGAAAUCAGAGAGGCCUGGGUUUGAAUCUCAUUUUUAAUGUAAAGAAUGAUGUACACACUGUAAAAAUAUACGUAAGGUUCUUACCCAUUCUGUUCCCCAGUUUUUUUUUUAAUCAAUGAAACUAGGCUAAAAUAGUUAUACCUCCCACAAAAAGUUGUGAGAUAAAUAAUGCAUUUUACAAUGCUUAGCAAAUUAUAGUUUCCUUAAAUGUCUUAUAUCCUCUGUCUCCAUUUCUUUCUUUGAUUUCAGCAGAAGCCAUGUUCUCCCAACUCUCCAAAAUGCUACCACAGUCUUUCACUUCACAAUCAAAUACACAAUUUUAAAUUUGAAAAUUACCCAAGUCUAUCUUUUUAGAGGGAAUUAAUAUGAGAAAGUGAAACUUUGGUUUUUACUUGCCCUAAACAUUCAUCCUUAAGCCCAAGCUAAUUAUUUAUUAAUUUAUUCAUUCAACAACUAUUUCUUUCACCUUCUACUAAGUGUUAUCACUAUGUUAGGCUUAGGAGUCCAGCAUAACGAUAGGAAAACUCAGUCUGUUCCCUGUUCUCCUUGAAUCACUGAGAAUCCUUUUACCUCUGAAAUUUUUUUUUUCCCCUGUAACUUCUAUUGCUAACACUUUCAGUUAGACCCCAUAUUUCUAUGCUCUGUAAGUGCCAUGAGUGUUAGAAAGUUGCUAACGUUGCACAUUUGUUCUUAUUGGAUGAGCAGCCUCAUUAGCUCCUUGACUACAGCUCUAAAGCCUAACAAGAACCCCUGUCAGCUGAUGCCAGAUGAAGAAUGAAGCCAAGCUCACUAGCUUAUCCAUGAGCAAAGGAGCCAGACAACCAGAACUCCACACCAGUGUAACAUAGAAGCCUUCGGUGAACAGAGUCUGCCUGUGACCCAGUAGAAGCCAUAUGAAUGAGAGGUUGACAACGGUGGUAGAAGCGACAAGGCUGAUGUUAGUGAUCCAGGCAGCCGGGGGUCCAGUGCUGCUUCUGAGAGAGAUAUUGAAGCAACAAGUCUCAGUUAAAGCUCUGAGAUGCAAAGCACAAUGACAGUUACAACUAUUCAUUUAUUUUGAAUGACACGGCAAUACAUGAGGCAGAUAAGCAAGGAUCAGUGUCCACAUUUUAUAGAGGCAGAGAUGAAUGUCAGCCACUGGAUUACUCAGAGGAUCCCCAUUGUAUCUCCUUGCCCACUUUGUGUAAUGGAACAGUUUGUUUACGUGGUUUGCUUAUGAUUCUUGAAGCUUCAGCUGAUUCAGAAGCUCCCAGAAUCUGACUAUUCCUUGCCCCAUGGUCCUCUCAUUGCCUUUUCAAAGCCAGCAACAGCUGAUCAAGUCUUCUCACACUGUUUUUCCUCUGACAGUCACUUUUUUCUCCUCUCUUUUACUUCUAAGGAUGCCUGAACUUAAAUUCACCUCACCACAAGAUUACUGAACAAUUUUCCCAUCUCAAGAUCCUUGAUCAAAUAUGCAAAAUCGAUUCUACCAUCUAUGUCCAUCGUUGGCUGGCUCUAAGGAAGGAAGAUGCAAUGGAACAAGAGCAGAGAAGAGCUGAUCACAUCAAGACAGCCAAGAAGCAGAGAUAAAAGGAAGAAACCAGGGAGGGCGUUACACCCUUCAGGUCAUGCCCCCAAUGACCUCUUCCAACCCAAUCCCAUCUUUUAGCAGUAAACAAACUACAUCACACCCAUGAUUUCAUCAUCCAAAAUCUCUGCAUGUGAGUGUGUGAGGCUCUUGGGGGACAUCUGGAUCCAAACCAUAAUAAUCUUGAAUUUGGUAUUUCAGUCAUCUUGUAGAGUCUGAGAGAGCUAAAAGAAAGGACUUUGUUUGGUGGAGGUUCAUGCAUUAAACUAAUAUUUCUUGUGUCCUACCACACCUUGCACAUUGCUACUAACUGCAUUUUUAAUGGUGAUAAAGGUGUGUGAUACCUUUUUCCCUUGGUUUAGCCUAAUGGAAAAAAUUAUGGGAGGAAAACAAACAGGUACAAAACAAGGUUACUAGGUGUUGUGUGGCAGGAAGGUCUUGACGAGUUACUCUAAUGAAAGUAUUUUGUCACCAAAAAAAAAAAAAAAAAAAAAAAAAAAAAAAAAAA
Molecule: long non-coding RNA, 2398 nt
Organism: Fukomys damarensis (Damara mole-rat)
Lineage: Eukaryota; Metazoa; Chordata; Mammalia; Rodentia; Bathyergidae
Exons: 5
Source: RefSeq, a predicted model, not a curated record